UACGUAGGAGGCAAGCGUUGUCCGGAAUCACUGGGUGUAAAGGGUGCGCAGGCGGGGAAGUAAGUCAGCGGUGAAAUCUCACGGCUUAACCGUGAAACUGCCGCUGAUACUGCUUCUCUUGAGUUCGGGAGAGGGUGGUGGAAUUCCUGGUGUAGCGGUGAAAUGCGUAGAUAUCAGGAAGAACACCAGUGGCGAAGGCGGCCACCUGGCCCGUAACUGACGCUCAUGCACGAAAGCGUGGGGAUCAAACAGG
RNAcentral lists this ribosomal RNA (253 nucleotides) under uncultured bacterium. RNAcentral describes it as "partial 16S ribosomal RNA". It matches the Rfam family "Bacterial small subunit ribosomal RNA", at positions 524 to 776 of the family's 1533-position model. The record is from RNAcentral.